RNAcentral lists this ribosomal RNA (1455 nucleotides) under Mammaliicoccus sciuri. RNAcentral describes it as "partial 16S ribosomal RNA". It matches the Rfam family "Bacterial small subunit ribosomal RNA". The record is from RNAcentral. RNAcentral also lists the same sequence under 1 other name. Lineage: Bacteria; Bacillati; Bacillota; Bacilli; Caryophanales; Staphylococcaceae.
GGGACUGCCGCGGUGCUAUACAUGCAGUCGAGCGAACAGAUGAGAAGCUUGCUUCUCUGAUGUUAGCGGCGGACGGGUGAGUAACACGUGGGUAACCUACCUAUAAGACUGGGAUAACUCCGGGAAACCGGGGCUAAUACCGGAUAAUAUUUUGAACCGCAUGGUUCAAUAGUGAAAGACGGUUUCGGCUGUCACUUAUAGAUGGACCCGCGCCGUAUUAGCUAGUUGGUAAGGUAACGGCUUACCAAGGCGACGAUACGUAGCCGACCUGAGAGGGUGAUCGGCCACACUGGAACUGAGACACGGUCCAGACUCCUACGGGAGGCAGCAGUAGGGAAUCUUCCGCAAUGGGCGAAAGCCUGACGGAGCAACGCCGCGUGAGUGAUGAAGGUCUUCGGAUCGUAAAACUCUGUUGUUAGGGAAGAACAAAUUUGUUAGUAACUGAACAAGUCUUGACGGUACCUAACCAGAAAGCCACGGCUAACUACGUGCCAGCAGCCGCGGUAAUACGUAGGUGGCAAGCGUUAUCCGGAAUUAUUGGGCGUAAAGCGCGCGUAGGCGGUUUCUUAAGUCUGAUGUGAAAGCCCACGGCUCAACCGUGGAGGGUCAUUGGAAACUGGGAAACUUGAGUGCAGAAGAGGAGAGUGGAAUUCCAUGUGUAGCGGUGAAAUGCGCAGAGAUAUGGAGGAACACCAGUGGCGAAGGCGGCUCUCUGGUCUGUAACUGACGCUGAUGUGCGAAAGCGUGGGGAUCAAACAGGAUUAGAUACCCUGGUAGUCCACGCCGUAAACGAUGAGUGCUAAGUGUUAGGGGGUUUCCGCCCCUUAGUGCUGCAGCUAACGCAUUAAGCACUCCGCCUGGGGAGUACGACCGCAAGGUUGAAACUCAAAGGAAUUGACGGGGACCCGCACAAGCGGUGGAGCAUGUGGUUUAAUUCGAAGCAACGCGAAGAACCUUACCAAAUCUUGACAUCCUUUGACCGCUCUAGAGAUAGAGUCUUCCCCUUCGGGGGACAAAGUGACAGGUGGUGCAUGGUUGUCGUCAGCUCGUGUCGUGAGAUGUUGGGUUAAGUCCCGCAACGAGCGCAACCCUUAAGCUUAGUUGCCAUCAUUAAGUUGGGCACUCUAGGUUGACUGCCGGUGACAAACCGGAGGAAGGUGGGGAUGACGUCAAAUCAUCAUGCCCCUUAUGAUUUGGGCUACACACGUGCUACAAUGGAUAAUACAAAGGGCAGCGAAUCCGCGAGGCCAAGCAAAUCCCAUAAAAUUAUUCUCAGUUCGGAUUGUAGUCUGCAACUCGACUACAUGAAGCUGGAAUCGCUAGUAAUCGUAGAUCAGCAUGCUACGGUGAAUACGUUCCCGGGUCUUGUACACACCGCCCGUCACACCACGAGAGUUUGUAACACCCGAAGCCGGUGGAGUAACCUUUUAGGAGCUAGCCGUCGAAGGGGACAAG